RNAcentral lists this small RNA (51 nucleotides) under Oryza sativa Japonica Group (Japanese rice). Its description in RNAcentral is "sRNA Os10g0176800". The record is from RNAcentral. Lineage: Eukaryota; Viridiplantae; Streptophyta; Magnoliopsida; Poales; Poaceae.
UAGUGGCAUAUUUCAAAACUAGAAAAUUUUUAAUGGCAUGUAUCCAAUUAA